Molecule: ribosomal RNA, 699 nt
Filed under: uncultured bacterium
Lineage: Bacteria
Description: bacterial SSU rRNA
Rfam family: Bacterial small subunit ribosomal RNA
Source: RNAcentral
AGAGUUUGAUCCUGGCUCAGGAUGAACGCUAGCGGGAGGCUUAAUACAUGCAAGUCGAGGGAGAAAUUGUUUUUCGAAAUAAUGGAAACCGGCGCACGGGUGAGUAACGCGUACACUACCUACCUUAUACUGGGGAAUAGCCUUUGGAAACGAAGAGUAAUACCCCAUAGUCUCGCAAGAGUAAAGCUCCGGCGGUAUGAGAUGGGUGUGCGUCUGAUUAGCUAGUUGGUGAGGUAACUGCUCACCAAGGCGACGAUCAGUAGGGGGCGUGAGAGCGUGAUCCCCCACACGGGUACUGAGACACGGACCCGACUCCUACGGGAGGCAGCAGUAAGGAAUAUUGGACAAUGGGCGAAAGCCUGAUCCAGCCAUCCCGCGUGAAGGAUGAAUGCCCUAUGGGUUGUAAACUUCUUUUGCUUGGAAAGAAACGCUCGGAUUUAUCUGAGCCUGACGGUACCUAGCGAAUAAGCACCGGCUAACUUCGUGCCAGCAGCCGCGGUAAUACGGAGGGUGCAAGCGUUAUCCGGAAUCACUGGGUUUAAAGGGUGCGUAGGCGGCGUUAUAAGUCAGAGGUGAAAGCUUGCAGCUUAACUGUAAAAUUGCCUCUGAUACUGUAGUGCUUGAAUCACGUUGAGGUCAGCGGAAUGUGACAUGUAGCGGUGAAAUGCUUAGAUAUGUCAUAGAACACCAAUUGCGUAG